Molecule: transfer RNA, 72 nt
Filed under: Bos taurus (domestic cattle)
Lineage: Eukaryota; Metazoa; Chordata; Mammalia; Artiodactyla; Bovidae
Also listed under: 3 other names
Rfam family: tRNA
About the family: Transfer RNA (tRNA) molecules are approximately 80 nucleotides in length. Their secondary structure includes four short double-helical elements and three loops (D, anti-codon, and T loops).
Source: Rfam by way of RNAcentral
UCCCUGGUGGCUCAGACGGUAAAGAAUCCGCCUGCUAUGCAGGAGACCCAGGUUCAAUCCCUGGGUGGGGAA